Molecule: ribosomal RNA, 164 nt
Filed under: uncultured bacterium
Lineage: Bacteria
Description: partial 16S rRNA
Rfam family: Bacterial small subunit ribosomal RNA
Source: RNAcentral
CAGGGAAUCUUCCACAAUGGGCGAAAGCCUGAUGGAGCAACGCCGCGUGUGUGAUGAAGGGUUUCGGCUCGUAAAACACUGUUGUAAGAGAAGAAUGACAUUGAGAGUAACUGUUCAAUGUGUGACGGUAUCUUACCAGAAAGGAACGGCUAAAUAUGUGCCAG